GCCCUCAUAGCUCAGCAGGACAGAGCACCGGUCUACGGCACCGGAGGUCGGGGGUUCGACUCCUCCUGAGGGCACCA
This 77-nucleotide transfer RNA is filed under the name Microbacterium maritypicum MF109. RNAcentral describes it as "tRNA-Arg". It matches the Rfam family "tRNA". From Rfam's summary of the family: Transfer RNA (tRNA) molecules are approximately 80 nucleotides in length. Lineage: Bacteria; Bacillati; Actinomycetota; Actinomycetes; Micrococcales; Microbacteriaceae. The record is from RNAcentral.